ACCGGGCGUCGUGGCGGGCGUCUGUGAGCCAGCUUCUUGGCGGUAGAUGAGUGCGGAUGGAGUGAAGGGAGGAGUCCUGUGUGUGUUGUCGGCAACGGCGACCGAGCGUCCGUGCCAAGCGCUGCGUCGCCAGGGGUCAUCCGGCGGAGGCUGGGAGGUCCCGGGCGGAUAAGGAGAGGUGGACGGCUCAGGGCCGUGAGGCAGCAGGCAAAAGCUUCCGCGCGGGGCAGUGGUCGGAUAGCGCUUGUGAGUUGCAACACGCACGCAGCCUUCCUGACACCUUCAGACCGCUCAUCGU
Molecule: signal recognition particle RNA, 298 nt
Filed under: Caenorhabditis japonica
Lineage: Eukaryota; Metazoa; Nematoda; Chromadorea; Rhabditida; Rhabditidae
Description: sRNA CJA48415
Rfam family: Metazoan signal recognition particle RNA
About the family: The signal recognition particle (SRP) is a universally conserved ribonucleoprotein. It is involved in the co-translational targeting of proteins to membranes.
Source: Rfam by way of RNAcentral